This 433-nucleotide ribosomal RNA is filed under the name uncultured bacterium. RNAcentral's name for it is "partial 16S ribosomal RNA". It matches the Rfam family "Bacterial small subunit ribosomal RNA", at positions 29 to 507 of the family's 1533-position model. The record is from RNAcentral.
AGCGAACGCUGGCGGCAGGCUUAACACUUGCAAGUCGAGCGGGCCCUUCGGGGUCAGCGGCAGACGGGUGAGUAACACGUGGGAACGUACCCUUUGGUUCGGAAUAACGCUGGGAAACUAGCGCUAAUACCGGAUACGCCCUUUUGGGGAAAGGCUUGCUGCCGAAGGAUCGGCCCGCGUCUGAUUAGCUAGUUGGUGGGGUAAUGGCCUACCAAGGCGACGAUCAGUAGCUGGUCUGAGAGGAUGAUCAGCCACACUGGGACUGAGACACGGCCCAGACUCCUACGGGAGGCAGCAGUGGGGAAUAUUGGACAAUGGGCGCAAGCCUGAUCCAGCCAUGCCGCGUGAGUGAUGAAGGCCUUAGGGUUGUAAAGCUCUUUUGUCCGGGACGAUAAUGACGGUACCGGAAGAAUAAGCCCCGGCUAACUUCGUG